UAAACAGUGUUCUUUCUGAAAAGAGUUUUGAUCACAUGAGGGUGACAAGUUGGAUUAAUAUGUUGGAUGUUUUGUUUGACUGGUUUCGAUCGCACGAGGGCGAAAAAGGAUAAACUUGAUAGGUUAAGAUAUUUUUGGUUGGAUGAAGAUCACUCGGAUAGUCGAGUAAGACAACUCGUAUCCUAACAGUCGGGAAAGGGAGUAGAAGACUCUAUACCACUUUCUU
RNAcentral lists this long non-coding RNA (226 nucleotides) under Lathyrus oleraceus (garden pea). Its description in RNAcentral is "Pisum sativum (pea) long non-coding RNA (PSAT_LNC012856)". Lineage: Eukaryota; Viridiplantae; Streptophyta; Magnoliopsida; Fabales; Fabaceae. The record is from RNAcentral.